UACGGGGGGUGCGAGCGUUGUCCGGAAUCACUGGGCGUAAAGGGCGCGUAGGUGGCCUGAUAAGGGUGUGGUGAAAGUCCGGGGCUCAACCCCGGAUCGGCCGUGCCGACUGUCAGGCUAGAGUACUGUAGGGGCAGGCGGAAUUCCGGGUGUAGCGGUGGAAUGCGUAGAGAUGCGGAGGAAGAGCGGUGGCGAAGGCGGCCUGCUGGGCAGUUACUGACACUGAGGCGCAACAGCGUGGGGAGCAAACAGG
Molecule: ribosomal RNA, 253 nt
Filed under: uncultured bacterium
Lineage: Bacteria
Description: partial 16S ribosomal RNA
Rfam family: Bacterial small subunit ribosomal RNA
Source: RNAcentral